RNAcentral lists this ribosomal RNA (993 nucleotides) under Pediococcus acidilactici. Its description in RNAcentral is "bacterial SSU rRNA". It matches the Rfam family "Bacterial small subunit ribosomal RNA", at positions 468 to 1460 of the family's 1533-position model. Lineage: Bacteria; Bacillati; Bacillota; Bacilli; Lactobacillales; Lactobacillaceae. The record is from RNAcentral.
AGUGACGGUAUUUAACCAGAAAGCCACGGCUAACUACGUGCCAGCAGCCGCGGUAAUACGUAGGUGGCAAGCGUUAUCCGGAUUUAUUGGGCGUAAAGCGAGCGCAGGCGGUCUUUUAAGUCUAAUGUGAAAGCCUUCGGCUCAACCGAAGAAGUGCAUUGGAAACUGGGAGACUUGAGUGCAGAAGAGGACAGUGGAACUCCAUGUGUAGCGGUGAAAUGCGUAGAUAUAUGGAAGAACACCAGUGGCGAAGGCGGCUGUCUGGUCUGUAACUGACGCUGAGGCUCGAAAGCAUGGGUAGCGAACAGGAUUAGAUACCCUGGUAGUCCAUGCCGUAAACGAUGAUUACUAAGUGUUGGAGGGUUUCCGCCCUUCAGUGCUGCAGCUAACGCAUUAAGUAAUCCGCCUGGGGAGUACGACCGCAAGGUUGAAACUCAAAAGAAUUGACGGGGGCCCGCACAAGCGGUGGAGCAUGUGGUUUAAUUCGAAGCUACGCGAAGAACCUUACCAGGUCUUGACAUCUUCUGCCAACCUAAGAGAUUAGGCGUUCCCUUCGGGGACAGAAUGACAGGUGGUGCAUGGUUGUCGUCAGCUCGUGUCGUGAGAUGUUGGGUUAAGUCCCGCAACGAGCGCAACCCUUAUUACUAGUUGCCAGCAUUCAGUUGGGCACUCUAGUGAGACUGCCGGUGACAAACCGGAGGAAGGUGGGGACGACGUCAAAUCAUCAUGCCCCUUAUGACCUGGGCUACACACGUGCUACAAUGGAUGGUACAACGAGUCGCGAAACCGCGAGGUUUAGCUAAUCUCUUAAAACCAUUCUCAGUUCGGACUGUAGGCUGCAACUCGCCUACACGAAGUCGGAAUCGCUAGUAAUCGCGGAUCAGCAUGCCGCGGUGAAUACGUUCCCGGGCCUUGUACACACCGCCCGUCACACCAUGAGAGUUUGUAACACCCAAAGCCGGUGGGGUAACCUUUUAGGAGCUAGCCGUCUAA